This 482-nucleotide ribosomal RNA is filed under the name uncultured bacterium. RNAcentral describes it as "bacterial SSU rRNA". It matches the Rfam family "Bacterial small subunit ribosomal RNA", at positions 30 to 506 of the family's 1533-position model. The record is from RNAcentral.
UUGAACGCUGGCGGCAUGCUUUACACAUGCAAGUCGAACGGCAGCGGGGGCUUCGGCCUGCCGGCGAGUGGCGAACGGGUGAGUAAUGCAUCGGAACGUACCCAGUCGUGGGGGAUAACUACGCGAAAGCGUAGCUAAUACCGCAUACGCCCUGAGGGGGAAAGCGGGGGAUCGCAAGACCUCGCGCGAUAGGAGCGGCCGAUAUCGGAUUAGCUUGUUGGUGAGGUAAAGGCUCACCAAGGCGACGAUCCGUAGCUGGUCUGAGAGGACGACCAGCCACACUGGAACUGAGACACGGUCCAGACUCCUACGGGAGGCAGCAGUGGGGAAUUUUGGACAAUGGGGGCAACCCUGAUCCAGCCAUUCCGCGUGAGUGAAGAAGGCCUUCGGGUUGUAAAGCUCUUUCAGCAGGAACGAAACGGUGGCUACUAAUACUAGCUACUAAUGACGGUACCUGAAGAAGAAGCACCGGCUAACUACGU